GAUGAAGAACGUAGCGAAAUGCGAUAAGUAAUGUGAAUUGCAGAAUUCAGUGAAUCAUCGAAUCUUUGAACGCACCUUGCGCCCCUUGGUUAUUCCAAAGGGCAUGCCUGUUUGAGUAUCAUGAACACCUCAACUCUUGUGGUUUCCCACAAUGAGCUUGGACUGUGGAGGUUUUGUUGGCCCUGUGGUCAGCUCCUCUCAAAUGGAUCAGCUUACCGGUGUUUGGUGGCAUUAUGGGUGUGAUAACUAUCUACGCUCGUGGUCGUCUCCAAAUAACCUCCAGUGAUGGAGGUUCGCUGGAGCUUAUAAAUGUCUCUCCCCAGUGAAGACAGCCUUUGAACGUUCGAUCUCAAAUCAGGUAGGACUACCCGCUGAACUUAAGCAUAUCAAUAAGCGGAGGA
Molecule: unclassified non-coding RNA, 401 nt
Filed under: soil metagenome
Description: partial contains 5.8S ribosomal RNA, internal transcribed spacer 2, and large subunit ribosomal RNA
Rfam family: 5.8S ribosomal RNA (bases 1-121)
Source: RNAcentral